Molecule: ribosomal RNA, 460 nt
Filed under: uncultured bacterium
Lineage: Bacteria
Description: partial 16S ribosomal RNA
Rfam family: Bacterial small subunit ribosomal RNA
Source: RNAcentral
CCUACGUGAGGCAGCAGUGAGGAAUAUUGGUCAAUGGGCGCGAGCCUGAACCAGCCAAGUCGCGUGAGGGAGGACGGCCCUACGGGUUGUAAACCUCUUUUGCCGGGGAGCAACGGGCGUCACGUGUGGCGCCACUGAGAGUACCCGGAGAACAAGCAUCGGCUAACUCCGUGCCAGCAGCCGCGGUAAUACGGAGGAUGCGAGCGUUAUCCGUAUUUAUUGGGUUUAAAGGGUGCGUAGGCGGAUCGUUAAGUCAGUGGUCAAAUUGAGGGGCUCAACCCCUUCCCGCCAUUGAAACUGGCGCUCAUGAGUGGAAGAGAAGUAUGCGGAAUGCGUGGUGUAGCGGUGAAAUGCAUAGAUAUCACGCAGAACCCCGAUUGCGAAGGCAGCAUGCCGGCUUCCGACUGACGCUGAAGCACGAAAGCGUGGGGAUCGAACAGGAUUAGAUACCCGAGUAGUC